UACGGAGGGUGCAAGCGUUAUCCGGAUUCACUGGGUUUAAAGGGUGCGUAGGUGGGUUGGUAAGUCAGUGGUGAAAUCUCCGUGCUUAACAUGGAAACUGCCAUUGAUACUACUGAUCUUGAAUUUUCCGGAGGUAAGCGGAAUAUGUCAUGUAGCGGUGAAAUGCUUAGAUAUGACAUAGAACACCAAUUGCGAAGGCAGCUUACUACAGGGACAUUGACACUGAGGCACGAAAGCGUGGGGAGCGAACAGG
RNAcentral lists this ribosomal RNA (253 nucleotides) under uncultured bacterium. RNAcentral describes it as "partial 16S ribosomal RNA". It matches the Rfam family "Bacterial small subunit ribosomal RNA", at positions 524 to 776 of the family's 1533-position model. The record is from RNAcentral.